This 69-nucleotide antisense RNA is filed under the name Streptomyces sp. NRRL WC-3618. RNAcentral describes it as "ASpks TB sRNA". It matches the Rfam family "ASpks TB sRNA". The record is from Rfam by way of RNAcentral. Lineage: Bacteria; Bacillati; Actinomycetota; Actinomycetes; Kitasatosporales; Streptomycetaceae.
CUUCAGCGAGCCCAGCCAGAGCGGGGUGUCGCGGCCCUGCCCGUAGGCGGCCAGUAGCGCGCCCGCCUC